ACCUUAUCGGAGCUGGAAGAGAGAGAGAGAGAGACUGCUGAGAGAGUAUUAUGGAGAAGGAGACGCUGCGUCAGACCAGGUAGGUGGAUCUGCUUUUCCACCUCCCUUUUCCAAAUUCGAAACAGAUAGCCGUUGCCUAUAACAAAGUAACCUGUGAGUGAAAUAACACCCAAUUCCUCUGUUACAUUUCUUGCAAUCUUACCUGAGACAAAGUUACAGGUUGAGACAUUGUUACCUGUAACAUUUCUCUCCCAAACACAAGCUGUUAAAUACAUUUUUUAGAGAAGUUACUGGCAUCCAAACAGCCCCCUUUGUAUUUCUCUCCUCUUUCCUCAAAUCAGUCCAUCGUUCCUCCUCAACUGAAUAUGAAACUCUGCAAAAUCCCACCUUCGAUCUCUCAUUACCACCUCCAAAGGCUCCUCCGCUACUUCUCUUCUUCUUCUUCUCCUUCUACUUCUCCUCUCUCUCCUCUCUCCAACCCCAUAUCUCUCCAUCACCAUCUCUCCUUCCUUAGAAACUUCUCUUCUCUCCCCCAAACCCCACCCUCCGAAAUAGCCCAAUCCAUCGCCACUCAACUCCUCAAACCCGAACCCGAAAACCCCUCUCUCCCCCUCCAACAGCGCCUCUCUCUCCAUUUCUCCCACGUCGAUUUCAAUCCCCUCUUAAUCCUCCAAACCCUCAAUCUCUCCUCUGACGCCGGCCGUAACGUUCUCUCCCUCCACCGCUACCUUUCCCAAGACCGUCCUGAUGUCAAACUCGAUGACUCAUCUCUUAGGUAUUUCGUCGAACACCUUGGCCGCAACAAGGAUUUUAAGGCCAUUGAUGAGUUCCUUACUGAAAAUCGUGGCGUCGCUGGGCCCGAAUGCUUUAGAGCUGCUGUUAAUCGCCUUGUGCGUGCUGGACGGCCCACACAAGUGAUCGCCUUUUUUGAUAGAAUGGAGAAGGACUAUGGCUUUGUCCGCAACCGCGAGUCACUGUUUGUUGUUGUUUCUGCGCUCUGCGAACAUGGGUUUGCUUCCCAUGCCGAGCGGUUUGUCAAACAGGUGGCAGACGAGAUUUUCCCUGAUGAGGCUAUCUGUGAUGCCCUCGUUAGAGGGUGGUGCGUGGAUGAGAAGUAUGAUGAGGCAAGGCGGCUGGUGGGUGAGAUCACCCGUGGUGGGUUUGAGCUCGGGACGUCAGCAUACAAUGCACUGCUUGAUUGUGUCUGUAAGCUAUGUCGCAAAAAGGACCCUUUUCGGGUCAUGUUUGAGGCAGAGAAGGUGCUUGUUGAAAUGGAAACCGUGGGUGUCCCACGUGAUGUUGGGACAUUCAAUGUUCUCAUCUCCAAUCUGUGCAAGAUUCGGAAGACGGAGGAUGCAGUGAAGCUGUUUGACAGAAUGGGUGAGUGGGGUUGCUCGCCGGAUGCUGAAACGUUCAUUUUGCUCACGAGGAGUCUUUAUCAGGCGGCGAGAAUUGCUGAGGGGGAUGAAAUGAUUGAUCGGAUGAAGUCCGCUGGGUUCGGGAAGGCUCUUGAUAAGAAAAUAUACUAUGGGUUUGUCAAAAUUUUGUGUGGGAUUGAGCGGAUUGAUCAUGCGUUGAAGGUGUUUGUGAAAAUGAAGAAAGAUGGAUGCACUCCAGGGAUCAAGACUUAUGAUCUGUUGAUGGGGAAGCUGUGUGCUCAUGGGAGGGUUGACCGAGCAAAUGCACUAUUCCAUGAGGCAGAGAAGAAAGGGGUGCCUGUUACGCCAAAACCGUAUAAGGUUGAUCCUAGAUUUGCCAAGAAGCCUAAGGUCAAGAAGGAGAAGCCGCAGAGGGAAACAUUGCCAAUGAAGAUGGCAAGAAAGAGGAGAAAACUUAGAAAGCUUCGGUUGAGUUUCGUGAAGAAGCCGAAGCGAGGGAUGAGGAUGCGUUAUUGAUUGACAAGAUCAGUCGCAUGUGAAUGCAAUGGAGCAGAAGUUUUUCUGGCCAAUCAAUGAUUUGGAUUUCCAUCCUCAAACAACUGUACUGAUAUCAGGGGCGAAAGAUCACACCAUAAAGUAAGGUCCAAUCUCAUAGACGUUGCAUGAGGACAUGAUUACUGAGCCGCAGUUUGGAUGCAAGAAAAGUUGUCCGACACAGGCGAUCCAAGGCAGACAAGCUGUCCAUGGUUUGUAUAAGAAGAGAGAUUCCAUCCCAAUUUUCCUUGAAAGAAAGUACAUGUAGUUCCAUUACACAAUGUAUACUUGUAAGAGAGCAAAGGGGGGAAUAGAAAAAUGCAACAACCUUACAAAUAUCAAUACAAAACUUGCAAAAUCAGUUGGGGGAGGCCCCUUAAUUCGCCCUCCCAACUUCCAA
This is an RNA transcript of Magnolia sinica, 2313 nucleotides long. It is a transcript of the gene named small ribosomal subunit protein mL104 (rPPR9), with no coding region annotated. The record is from RefSeq and is a predicted model, not a curated record. NCBI's taxonomy places the organism in Eukaryota, Viridiplantae, Streptophyta, Magnoliopsida, Magnoliales, Magnoliaceae. The transcript is spliced from 3 exons.